GACGAACGCUGGCGGCGUGCCUAAUACAUGCAAGUAGAACGCUGAAGAGAGGAGCUUGCUCUUCUUGGAUGAGUUGCGAACGGGUGAGUAACGCGUAGGUAACCUGCCUUGUAGCGGGGGAUAACUAUUGGAAACGAUAGCUAAUACCGCAUAACAAUGGAUGACACAGGUCAUUUAUUUGAAAGGGGCAAUUGCUCCACUACAAGAUGGACCUGCGUUGUAUUAGCUAGUAGGUGAGGUAAUGGCUCACCUAGGCGACGAUACAUAGCCGACCUGAGAGGGUGAUCGGCCACACUGGGACUGAGACACGGCCCAGACUCCUACGGGAGGCAGCAGUAGGGAAUCUUCGGCAAUGGGGGCAACCCUGACCGAGCAACGCCGCGUGAGUGAAGAAGGUUUUCGGAUCGUAAAGCUCUGUUGUAAGUCAAGAACGGGUGUGAGAGUGGAAAGUUCACACUGUGACGGUAGCUUACCAGAAAGGGACGGCUAACUACGUG
Molecule: ribosomal RNA, 497 nt
Filed under: uncultured bacterium
Lineage: Bacteria
Description: partial 16S ribosomal RNA
Rfam family: Bacterial small subunit ribosomal RNA
Source: RNAcentral